CGCCCUUUUUUUUUUAGCAACAUCAGCAACAGAGCACUAGCGAUCUCCUAUAGCACUUAUUACUUUUUUUUAGAGGAAAAUUGCAUUUUAUCUCAGCCAUCAAUCUCCUGUAGGCUGUAGCACUUACUAGUAUUUUUUAUGAGAUCCUGUAGCACUUACUACCCAGUAGCGAAAUGUGUAACCCCAAAUAUUAUCCAAGAAACACCGGAACACACACAAAGUUAGAAGCUAAAUUUUCCACCAAAGAAAAAAGUUAGAAGCUAAUGAAGGCCCAUUGGACCCGUAUUUGAGCUCAAAUAAAUGCUUUCUCGGCCC
Molecule: long non-coding RNA, 315 nt
Filed under: Sorghum bicolor (sorghum)
Lineage: Eukaryota; Viridiplantae; Streptophyta; Magnoliopsida; Poales; Poaceae
Description: long non-coding RNA (SBIC_LNC006066)
Source: RNAcentral